RNAcentral lists this long non-coding RNA (1012 nucleotides) under Marmota monax (woodchuck). Lineage: Eukaryota; Metazoa; Chordata; Mammalia; Rodentia; Sciuridae. The record is from RNAcentral.
GGAGAAUAAAGCAUACUUCCUGUCACAGGAUAGGUGCUCAGAAGCUAGAAGCCCUGAUUCCUGAGCCAGGUGGGGUGGUCCCUGGCAUGCUCUAGCUCUGAAAUACCCCCUGCCCAGAAAUCAUGCCAGACAAAAUGUCAGGUGGUGGUGGGGCCCAGUUCUCCAAUUUCCCAGUCUGACAAACAGAAAUCAAUUUUGUGUCUGUUAGAGCCAUUACGACUUCAUCAACCACACAGCAAAUCCAUGUGCCCUAUUUGAUUUUCCUUUUAGGAACCAGCUAUCAAUACUGACCUUUCCAUGGGUGCUGGCCGUGGCGAGUUUGUUAGCCAGGCCUCUUCCCCUCCCAUCCAUGGCCAGGCAGCCCCUCACUGCCCACACUCAGCCCAGAGGAGGUGCUCUGACUCCUCCUGGACUAUACUGAAGACUUCUGGAGAGUUUAUUAAAUGCGGGUUCCAGGUCCCCUUCCCCAACUCCAAAUCUACCAGAUGGGUAUCUCCAGAAGUGGGUCCAGGACAUGCUUUUCACCAAGUCUCCAGUGACUCUGGUUUGGGAGUCACUGCUCUAGAGCAGCACAGGACAUCGGCCUCACGGUCUGUCUCCCCAAGGAGGACAGUCCACGAAGGGAGCUGGGAAAGAUUAGGUGACUUAACGGUAAAGAAAGGGGUUAAAGAGAGGAGAAAAUAUCUUGUUGUCUUUAAUCCUUCAAGAUUGAAGGAAUCUUACUGCCCUUAUUCCUUUAGAGAGAGGGAGACACUGUUGGUUUGGUGCAGACACACACAGGCCAGAGUCACUUUAAACUCCUGCUCAGCCACUUACUAGUCGCACACUCUUCUCAGGUAGCUUCUCUUAGCUUUUAGUAUCUCCCCAAUUUUCAAAUGGGAAUGCUAAUAUCUAGUUCAAAGAAUUAUGGAUGAAAGCAUGCAAAAUUCAUAACACAGGAUCUGGCAUAGAGUAGGUGUGCCUAUUAUCAAUUUAUUGCCUCUCAGUUCCACAUCUGUCCUUCUCUGCCCUA